UGGGGAAUAUUGCACAAUGGGGGAAACCCUGAUGCAGCGACGCCGCGUGAGCGAAGAAGUAUUUCGGUAUGUAAAGCUCUAUCAGCAGGGAAGAAAAUGACGGUACCUGACUAAGAAGCCCCGGCUAACUACGUGCCAGCAGCCGCGGUAAUACGUAGGGGGCAAGCGUUAUCCGGAUUUACUGGGUGUAAAGGGAGCGUAGACGGAUGUGCAAGUCUGAAGUGAAAGCCCGGGGCUCAACCCCGGGACUGCUUUGGAAACUGUGUAUCUGGAGUGCCGGAGAGGUGAGCGGAAUUCCCAGUGUAGCGGUGAAAUGCGUAGAUAUUGGGAGGAACACCAGUGGCGAAGGCGGCUUACUGGACGGUAACUGACGUUGAGGCUCGAAAGCGUGGGGAGCAAACA
This 402-nucleotide ribosomal RNA is filed under the name uncultured bacterium. RNAcentral's name for it is "bacterial SSU rRNA". It matches the Rfam family "Bacterial small subunit ribosomal RNA", at positions 355 to 774 of the family's 1533-position model. The record is from RNAcentral.